GACGAACGCUGGCGGCGUGCUUAACACAUGCAAGUCGAACGGAAAGGCCCUGCUUUUGUGGGGUGCUCGAGUGGCGAACGGGUGAGUAACACUUGAGUAACCUGCCCUUGACUUUGGGAUAACUUCAGGAAACUGGGGCUAAUACCGGAUAGGAGCUCCUGCUGCAUGGUGGGGGUUGGAAAGUUUCGGCGGUUGGGGAUGGACUCGCGGCUUAUCAGCUUGUUGGUGGGGUAGUGGCUUACCAAGGCUUUGACGGGUAGCCGGCCUGAGAGGGUGACCGGCCACAUUGGGACUGAGAUACGGCCCAGACUCCUACGGGAGGCAGCAGUGGGGAAUAUUGCACAAUGGGCGGAAGCCUGAUGCAGCAACGCCGCGUGCGGGAUGACGGCCUUCGGGUUGUAAACCGCUUUCGCCUGUGACGAAGCGUGAGUGACGGUAAUGGGUAAAGAAGCACCGGCUAACUACGUG
RNAcentral lists this ribosomal RNA (468 nucleotides) under uncultured bacterium. RNAcentral's name for it is "partial 16S ribosomal RNA". It matches the Rfam family "Bacterial small subunit ribosomal RNA", at positions 28 to 507 of the family's 1533-position model. The record is from RNAcentral.